GACGAACGCUGGCGGCGUGCUUAACACAUGCAAGUCGAACGGUGAAGGGACCAGCUUGCUGGUUCUGGAUGAGUGGCGAACGGGUGAGUAACACGUGAGUAACCUGCCCCCUUCUUCUGGAUAACCGCAUGAAAGUGUGGCUAAUACGGGAUAUUCUGGGUCUGUCGCAUGGCGGGCCCGGGAAAGAUAUUGCUUCGGUGGGGGAUGGGCUCGCGGCCUAUCAGCUUGUUGGUGGGGUGAUGGCCUACCAAGGCGGCGACGGGUAGCCGGCCUGGGGGGGGGGACGGUCGCACUGGGACUGAGACACGGCCCAGACUCCUACGGGGGGCAGCAGUGGGGAAGAUUGCACAAUGGGCGCAAGCCUGAUGCAGCGACGCCGCGUGAGGGAGGGAGGCCUUCGGGGUGUAAGCCUCUUUCGCCAGUGAAGCAGGCCUGCUCCUUGUGGGUGGGUUGACGGUAGCUGGAUAAGAAGCGCCGGCUAACUACGUG
RNAcentral lists this ribosomal RNA (489 nucleotides) under uncultured bacterium. RNAcentral's name for it is "partial 16S ribosomal RNA". It matches the Rfam family "Bacterial small subunit ribosomal RNA", at positions 28 to 507 of the family's 1533-position model. The record is from RNAcentral.